AUCUACGCGUCAAAGAAAUUGGUGUUUACUUAGAAUAAAAGUUUCCGGAAUUGUAUAUUCCAAACUGAACGUACAGGAAAAACAAUUUUUUAAACAUUUUCUGGCAUCGGUUGUCACGGAAAUUUUAUAAAAAAUCUACAAAUAUUCAGUUUCUAUAAAUACAGUUACUGAGACUUAGAAGAAAUACCGGUUGAGUUUUUUCCCGAAGAUUCAACGGUUUCCAGUUAAGAAACAAUUAUUUAUUGAGGAAAUUCGCGUACCAUUGAUGCACGCCAUACAUUCUUUCGGAACUUCGUAAAACAUUUCGCUAGGAGACCUGAGCCAUGUCGGACAAAAAUCCUGGUUGUGCCAACGAUAAUAGUUCUUACUGGUAGUAACAAUUACCAUAAUUGCAUACGGAAUUAUCUGAUGACGAUAUUUAAUUACCACGCUACUUUUUAUCAUGCUUGUUUAAUGAUAUGGCUAACAAAACAGUUACAGUUGUUUCGUCGAUUUCAAUGAAAAUUCUCGGAGGAUCUUGAUCGAUGUAGUACGCAGGAUUAACCUAUUUCUCGAUGUAUAAUACACGCUCUAAAAGUGCAUACCUUCGUAGAGCGUGAAAGUAUGUAGAAUGUUCCACUUUUUCCCUAUUUGUAACCGUUUCGAUGAAGAAUCGCUAUGCAUUCAGCAGAGAUACCGGGAAACAGAAACAGGUGUUAAAAGUUGAGGAACAACCGUUGUACGAUGUGUCACAUGCGAAGUCACCGUUUGACCACGAUUGCACCGAUAUUCCAUGCAAUUACAGCAUCCCACGAUCAAUUGCAUUACUCCUUAUUCUUUCCAGGACAAGAGAAAAUAUUCGUACACAAACCGUUUUAUUGCCGUUCACUUUUCAAAUUUCAACUGCGUUUAUGCGCAGUUUAGGAAAACGAUUAAGAAAACCCAAUAAACUCUUGCAUGUACUUGACGCAUGAGUUUUGAGAAAUAAACACUGUUCCCGAUCGAGAAGUUACACAAUCGUUACCGCGUCGAUAUGCAACGAGAAUAUUCACUUUUGAAGAAAUUUAUAUUUCACAGACGAUUAUGAAUUCUAUUUAACGCGUCACUGGAAGUUACACUUUUCAGGUAUCGUUACCUUAUAGCCACUGUUGAAAUAUUUAUGCAACGAUGUUUGAGGUGUAUAUCGCUUUUUAAUAACAGAGGAACAAUUGACAGAUUAACUAUUUAAUAACUUUUGUAGUUUGAUACACGUGUUAUUUGGUGCUGUGUAACACGCAAAUGUCUAAAACGUAGGAACGAACGGACCGGCAGUUGUUUCUUCCCUUGAGAGCAACAGCGGACUAAAUGUUCCACGCGCGUUAAAAAGGUGUUAUAUCUUGUAGAUAAAGACGUUUAACAAUUACUUAGAACUUCGAACUAUCAAAGUUUAUCGCUUGGAUUAGCAUCAGGCUCUGGAAAAUACGAAUUUGUCUCACAUUGAAUAAUAUUUUUUUAACUAUUUUUAAAAUGUGUUAACUGUACCAACAGUUGUCAAGAGAGUGAAAUAAGGAAUAUAGAAAUUUAUUUUGUCGAGAGCACCUGGUUUGAAUCUUAUUCAUCGACUGAAGAAAGAACAAGGUAUUGAAAACGGCAUACACGUCUGAAAUUACUGUUCAUCAUCAAGUGCGGGUUUUCUGUUACUGUUCAAUUAACACGGCUGUUCAUUACAUAAUUCCUGGACCUUUAAUGAACGCGCGGCUACCAAGAUAAUCACACGUUAAUCCUUAUUCGUUCCGAAGCAUAUUGCUUGACUACAUUCUUGGAAUAAAAUCACGUACGCUUAAAUUCUCACCGGCUGGCUUGUACCUGAUCAAUAUCGGAUAGCAAAAACAGGUAACAACGAGAUUAAAGUAACAAGAGGACUCGUAUACGUCAGAGACAUGUUACCUUGUGACUUUUAAUACGUCAUCGAAUAUAUUUAAAAGGUAAUUUUGGGAAUGAUGCACAACGAGGGAAUCAUGAAAAAUGACUACUGUCGAAAACAGAAAUUUGAGAACCCCUAACCUAAGGAAUCUUUUUCUGAAAUGCGCUAAAAUGUUAAUAAACGAGAAUUAAAGAAUAAAGAACAUGAAACGAUACUUGUGAAAGGAUCGGGUCGAAAGAGGAUGCUUACGCGUACCGUAAUCUAUGCUUGCUCAGCGAGCGCUGAAACGAAGAACACAUAAACCGUCACGUAAAAAUAGAUUGACCCUGUCGUCGAUAAAACCCUGCAAAGCGCGAAACCCUUCAACGAAGGUAAUUCGAUAUACACGCGAGGAGAGGUGAAUGGCGUAAAGCAUUCUCACGGGGUACUCAUAUAGUACUUACAAUGGAUUCUCUUUUGAAUUCCAUAUCCUGGACUUGAAUAGUUUCUUCCUUUUUUCUUCUUUACGACUGAUUUCAUUUUAUUAUGCCUUCACAAACGGACUAAUGGAAUAAAAGCAAAUUGCAUAAAUAACAAAAGAAUUUUU
This is a long non-coding RNA of Megachile rotundata (alfalfa leafcutting bee), 2468 nucleotides long. The record is from RefSeq and is a predicted model, not a curated record. Lineage: Eukaryota; Metazoa; Arthropoda; Insecta; Hymenoptera; Megachilidae.